UUGACCAUUUCAAUAUAAAGUAUGUACGAAAUGAGACUGGUCAUAGAAAAAGACUCCAGAGAAGUGCAGUUCCAGAACCAUAUCAGACUCAAGACGUUCAAAAUCGCUCAAGCACUUCCUCACCAGGUUCAUCAGGUACUUUUAAAGUACUGACACCGAAAAAGGUGUACAAAAAUAAACGGCUUCGCGACUGCGAACUUGAAGAGCUCGUGGAGCCGCCAGCAUUAGCAUACCAGUGCAACACGCCGAAGAGAAGACGGUUGUCAAUUACUGAAGACACGCCAAAAUGCAAAGUGUUAAAAAAGAAAUUAGUAUUGUAUCUAACAAUAACAAAAUGUAAUACCUUUUGAAUUAAAGAAGUAGUUUAAUUGAAUA
Long non-coding RNA from Pectinophora gossypiella (pink bollworm), 375 nucleotides. RefSeq lists it as uncharacterized. The record is from RefSeq and is a predicted model, not a curated record. The transcript has 2 exons. Lineage: Eukaryota; Metazoa; Arthropoda; Insecta; Lepidoptera; Gelechiidae.